GAUGAAUAUAGAUCUAUUAAACAAUAUCCUGAACCUUAUACACCCCAGGAGUCCACUGGAAGUUCAUUGUGAAGGAUGAAUAUAGAUCUAUUAAACAAUAUCCUGAACCUUAUACACCCCAGGAGUCCACUGGAAGUUCAUUGUGAAGGAUGAAUAUAGAUCUAUUAAACAAUAUCCUGAACCUUAUACACCCCUGGAGUCUAUUGUUGAUCUUGAAAUGAUUGGUCGUUUGGAGGAGGAGGAGAUAGAAAUAUUCCGAUCUGAUGAUGUAAUUCAAGAAACAAACUUUUAUCAAAUAUUUCAGGUUCGAAAUCAUGA
Long non-coding RNA from Eurytemora carolleeae, 318 nucleotides. RefSeq lists it as uncharacterized. NCBI's taxonomy places the organism in Eukaryota, Metazoa, Arthropoda, Copepoda, Calanoida, Temoridae. The record is from RefSeq and is a predicted model, not a curated record. The transcript is spliced from 3 exons.